RNAcentral lists this transfer RNA (70 nucleotides) under Sphaerodactylus townsendi. Its description in RNAcentral is "tRNA-Ala". The record is from RNAcentral. Lineage: Eukaryota; Metazoa; Chordata; Lepidosauria; Squamata; Sphaerodactylidae.
GGGUUUUUGCUGAAUGGUAAAGCAUCUGCUUUGCAUUCUGAAAUCCCAGGUUCAAUUGCUGGCAUCUUCA